UUUUUUCAUUUUUAUCCCUAAUUUUUCCCGAACCUUUUCUUUCUGUUUUUUUUUUUUGGUUCGCCGGGAUGCCCAUUUUUUGCCUGGACUCUUUUUUUCUUUUUUGUCCAGCGGGUCAAUUUAUGCGAAGUAUUUUUUGACUACAUCUGAGUUGACAGGAGACGGAAAAUCUUCACCAUCCAUAGUUGUAAGCAUCAAGGCUCCACCAG
Molecule: long non-coding RNA, 209 nt
Filed under: Lathyrus oleraceus (garden pea)
Lineage: Eukaryota; Viridiplantae; Streptophyta; Magnoliopsida; Fabales; Fabaceae
Description: Pisum sativum (pea) long non-coding RNA (PSAT_LNC041692)
Source: RNAcentral